Molecule: ribosomal RNA, 498 nt
Filed under: uncultured bacterium
Lineage: Bacteria
Description: partial 16S ribosomal RNA
Rfam family: Bacterial small subunit ribosomal RNA
Source: RNAcentral
AUUGAACGCUGGCGGCAUGCCUUACACAUGCAAGUCGAACGGUAACAGGUCUUCGGAUGCUGACGAGUGGCGAACGGGUGAGUAAUACAUCGGAACGAGCCCGAGAGUGGGGGAUAACGAGGCGAAAGCUUUGCUAAUACCGCAUACGAUCUCAGGAUGAAAGCAGGGGACCGCAAGGCCUUGCGCCCACGGAGCGGCCGAUGGCAGAUUAGGUAGUUGGUGGGAUAAAAGCUUACCAAGCCGACGAUCUGUAGCUGGUCUGAGAGGACGACCAGCCACACUGGGACUGAGACACGGCCCAGACUCCUACGGGAGGCAGCAGUGGGGAAUUUUGGACAAUGGGCGCAAGCCUGAUCCAGCCAUGCCGCGUGCAGGAUGAAGGCCUUCGGGUUGUAAACUGCUUUUGUACGGAACGAAAAGACUCUGGCUAAUACCUGGGGUCCAUGACGGUACCGUAAGAAUAAGCACCGGCUAACUACGUGCCAGCAGCCGCCGCCG